Molecule: long non-coding RNA, 3431 nt
Filed under: Phaseolus vulgaris (common bean)
Lineage: Eukaryota; Viridiplantae; Streptophyta; Magnoliopsida; Fabales; Fabaceae
Description: long non-coding RNA (PVUL_LNC004026)
Source: RNAcentral
CUGGGAGUACCUGAGAGUGAAUGUGCACGCUCUAGUUGUUGAGGUGUUGCAACCUGCUGAGUACCUGCGCUUCAAGGAGGAACUUGUUGAUGGAAGGUGAAGAAAAGGCUCGGAGUUUUGUUAAGUGGUGUACUUGGUAUGUUACUUACACUAUUUCUAAACGUCUCUCUCACUCUUAUUGCAGUUCUAAUGGAAACUUUGUGCUUGAGUUGGACUUUGAACCCUUUACGGCAUCCUUCCCCCGCCCAACUCUUAACAAGUCAAUUGGAAAUGGUGUGCAGUUCCUCAACCGCCACCUUUCUGCCAAACUCUUCCAUGACAAGGAGAGCUUGCACCCACUUUUGGAAUUCCUCAGGCUUCACAGCGUCAACGGAAAGGUAGGUAUCUAUUUUUCGCCUUUAAACUAAAGCAAGUAGUGAGAAGUGUAUGCAUGCGUUAGACACAUUCUUCAGUAGUUCAAUGACUUGAAUAUCUACAUCCAUGUUUGGACCAUGUCUAGUAACCAGAUCUGGAGUAGAAAUCUAAUAUGUAUGUGGCAACAGAAUCUCUAACAUGUUAAACACGAGGCAUGCAGUUAGUUCAUUCUUUUGCUUAUGGUUUUAGUGUUGUUCUUGUGUGUAUGUGUGCUUUGAUUUUACUGAUUGAUUUUCUUUUUCGUAUGCAGACUUUGAUGUUGAAUGACAGAAUUCAAAACCCUGAUGCUCUUCAACAUGUUCUGAGGAAAGCUGAGGAGUAUCUGGGUACAGUGCCUCCUGAAACCCCCUACUCAGAAUUUGAGCACAAGUUCCAGGAAAUUGGUUUGGAGAGAGGGUGGGGUGCGAACGCAGAGCUUGUACUUGAGUCAAUUCAACUUCUCUUGGAUCUUCUUGAAGCCCCUGAUCCGUGCACCCUUGAGACUUUCCUUGGAAGAAUCCCUAUGGUCUUUAAUGUUGUUAUUCUUUCGCCCCAUGGUUACUUUGCCCAAGAUAAUGUCUUGGGAUACCCUGACACUGGUGGUCAGGUUGUUUACAUCUUGGAUCAAGUCCGUGCUUUGGAGAAUGAGAUGCUCCAUCGCAUUAAGCAACAAGGAUUGGACAUUGUUCCUCGUAUUCUUAUUGUAUGUCCUGUUAUAUAUAGAUUUUUUAUGUCUUAUUAGCAAGUUUACUUGUGUACAGUGUGUGGCAUGUGGAUGUGUUCUUCUAAUCUGUGCUUGUGGAUGUUGUUAAAUGCAGAUCACUCGUCUUCUCCCAGAUGCAGUAGGUACUACUUGUGGCCAACGUCUUGAGAAGGUGUUUGGAACUGAACACUCCCACAUUCUUCGAGUUCCCUUUAGAACUGAGAAUGGGAUUGUUCGCAAGUGGAUCUCAAGAUUCGAAGUCUGGCCCUACUUGGAAACUUACACCGAGGUAAACUUUUCGCCCCAUAAUAAUUUUAACAAAGUUUAAGCAUUUUGGCGUGUUUUCACUUUUCUAAUCAAUUGUCUCUUGUUAACAGGAUGUUGCUCAUGAGCUUGCCAAAGAGUUGCAAGGCAAGCCAGAUCUGAUCGUUGGAAACUACAGUGAUGGAAACAUUGUUGCCUCUUUGUUGGCCCAUAAACUAGGUGUCACUCAGGUUGGUCCACAACUAUCUAGUUAACGUUGUCUAACUAUAUAUGUUGGAACUCAGAGGCCUAAGAUUUUAUCUUUAUCUAUUUAGUGUACCAUUGCUCAUGCACUUGAGAAGACCAAAUACCCUGAAUCCGAUAUUUACUGGAAAAAAUUGGAAGAGAGAUACCAUUUCUCUUGCCAAUUCACAGCUGAUCUAUUUGCCAUGAACCACACAGAUUUCAUUAUCACAAGUACAUUCCAAGAAAUUGCUGGAAGGUGAGUUUCCCCUUUUAUAUUUUUGUUCCUUUACCCAAUUUUCUUAUUGAUUAGAUCACUAAAUCUCUUGAAUCAUUGUACAAAUACUUUUGCAGCAAGGACACUGUUGGACAGUAUGAGUCUCACACAGCUUUCACCCUUCCUGGACUCUACCGUGUUGUGCACGGUAUUGAUGUCUUCGAUCCAAAAUUCAACAUUGUCUCUCCCGGAGCUGAUCAAACCAUUUACUUCUCCCACAAGGAAACUAGCCGUAGGUUGACCUCCUUCCACCCCGAAAUCGAAGAGCUUCUUUACAGCUCAGUCGAGAAUGAAGAACACAUGUUAGUUUCUCCUCUCACUUUGUUUAUCUUAUCUAAUCUUAUCAUGCAAGGUUUUAAUUAAAUUGUCAUCACUUUCAAUCACAAUGUGAGAAAUUACAGACAAAUACAUUGUAAUGGUGUUGUGGAGCAUUGUUUUAAAACCUUGAUAUCAUGUAUGGAACAUUUUGUCUAAUGCAAAAUUUGAUUUGAGACAGAUGUGUGCUGAAGGACCGCACGAAGCCAAUUAUCUUCACCAUGGCAAGGUUGGACCGUGUGAAGAACAUCACAGGACUUGUGGAGUGGUAUGGUAAGAAUGAGAAGCUGAGGGAGUUGGUGAACCUUGUGGUUGUUGCUGGAGACAGGAGGAAGGAGUCUAAGGACUUGGAAGAGAAGGCCGAGAUGAAGAAGAUGUACAGCCUGAUUGAGACCUACAAGUUGAACGGGCAAUUCAGGUGGAUUUCCUCUCAGAUGAACCGUGUGAGGAAUGGAGAGCUGUACCGUGUGAUCAGUGACACCAGGGGAGCCUUUGUGCAGCCUGCAGUGUAUGAGGCAUUUGGUUUGACAGUGGUUGAAGCCAUGACUUGUGGGUUGCCAACAUUUGCCACAUGCAAUGGUGGUCCUGCUGAGAUCAUUGUUCAUGGAAAAUCUGGCUUCCACAUUGAUCCCUACCAUGGUGACCGUGCUGCUGACCUCCUUGUUGAGUUCUUUGAGAAGUGCAAGGUUGAGCCAUCUCACUGGGACACCAUCUCUCAAGCUGGUCUCCAACGUAUUGAAGAGAAGUAAGCAAAUGAAUGUACUUUAUCUUUCAUGGACUCAUCUUGGUCUCAGAGGUUAACCUUUUUCUUUGUUUGCUGGUUUUAUUCCACAGGUACACAUGGCAAAUUUACUCCCAGAGGCUUCUCACCCUCACUGGUGUCUAUGGUUUCUGGAAGCAUGUGUCUAACCUUGAUCGCCUCGAGAGUCGCCGCUAUCUCGAGAUGUUCUAUGCUCUCAAGUACCGCAAAUUGGUAAGUUUAGCAUGUUCAUAUUAUUUUCUCAUCCUAGUUCUACCUUGGAAUAUAUAUAUAUAUAUAAUCUUAUGUUUUCAUUGUUUUUGCCUCAGGCUGAGUCUGUGCCCCUUGCUGUUGAGUAAACUGAGGAUGAAGAGUUGGACAAAGAAAUGGAGGAACCGGCUUUUUCUUUCUCUUUUGGAGUUUGUCGUACUUGAGUUUCACAAAUAAUGCCCGCCCAUGACUUUAAUUCUGUGAUUAAGCUUUCGAUAAGAAGGAGAGAGGGAGAGAAAAAAAAAAAG